RNAcentral lists this ribosomal RNA (564 nucleotides) under uncultured bacterium. RNAcentral's name for it is "partial 16S ribosomal RNA". It matches the Rfam family "Bacterial small subunit ribosomal RNA", at positions 355 to 910 of the family's 1533-position model. The record is from RNAcentral.
UGGGGAAUUUUGGACAAUGGGCGCAAGCCUGAUCCAGCAAUGCCGCGUGCAGGAUGAAGGCCUUCGGGUUGUAAACUGCUUUUGUACGGAACGAAAAGCCUCUCUCUAAUACAGGGGGGUGAUGACGGUACCGUAAGAAUAAGCACCGGCUAACUACGUGCCAGCAGCCGCGGUAAUACGUAGGGUGCAAGCGUUAAUCGGAAUUACUGGGCGUAAAGCGUGCGCAGGCGGUUUUGUAAGACAGUGGUGAAAUCCCCGGGCUCAACCUGGGAACUGCCAUUGUGACUGCAAGGCUGGAGUGCGGCAGAGGGGGAUGGAAUUCCGCGUGUAGCAGUGAAAUGCGUAGAUAUGCGGAGGAACACCGAUGGCGAAGGCAAUCCCGUGGGCCUGCACUGACGCUCAUGCACGAAAGCGUGGGGAGCAAACAGGAUUAGAUACCCUGGUAGUCCACGCCCUAAACGAUGUCAACUGGUUGUUGGGGAUUUAUUUCUUCAGUAACGAAGCUAACGCGUGAAGUUGACCGCCUGGGGGAGUACGGCCGCAAGGUUAAAAACUUAAAAGGAA